AUUGAACGCUGGCGGUAGGCCUAACACAUGCCAGUCGAACGGCAGCACAGUAAUAGCUUGCUCUUACGGUUGGCGAGUGGCGGACGGGUGAGGAAUACAUCGGAAUCUACUUUUUCGUGGGGGAUAACGUAGGGAAACUUACGCUAAUACCGCAUACGACCUACGGGUGAAAGCAGGGGAUCUUUGGACCUUGCGCGAUUGAAUGAGCCGAUGUCGGAUUAGCUAGUUGGCGGGGUAAAGGCCCACCAAGGCGACGAUCCGUAGCUGGUCUGAGAGGAUGAUCAGCCACACUGGAACUGAGACACGGUCCAGACUCCUACGGGAGGCAGCAGCGGGGAAUAUUGGACAAUGGGCGCAAGCCUGAUCCAGCCAUACCGCGUGGGUGAAGAAGGCCUUCGGGUUGUAAAGCCCUUUUGUUGGGAAAGAAAAGCAGCAGGUUAAUACCCCGCUGUUCUGACGGUACCCAAAGAAUAAGCACCGGCUAACUUCGUG
This 492-nucleotide ribosomal RNA is filed under the name uncultured bacterium. Its description in RNAcentral is "partial 16S ribosomal RNA". It matches the Rfam family "Bacterial small subunit ribosomal RNA", at positions 30 to 507 of the family's 1533-position model. The record is from RNAcentral.